Molecule: long non-coding RNA, 877 nt
Organism: Glycine soja
Lineage: Eukaryota; Viridiplantae; Streptophyta; Magnoliopsida; Fabales; Fabaceae
Exons: 2
Source: RefSeq, a predicted model, not a curated record
UCUGCUUACCAUGAAAGCUAUAUCAUCCUCUACCCAUAAUUUUUUCACUACUUCGUUCAUCUUUUUCUGUAUUUGUUUUACUUCUCAAUUUUUUUUUCUUUCUCGCUCUCAAAAAAAUCAAAACACAAAUCUAUUGGUCAUUCCUUUUUCUUUUUUUGAUUUCAAUUCUUUUUCCCGAUCUCCAACUCAUGGUUAUUCACUACAAGUUCCUUUUUGGUUCGAUUGGGUUUGGAGAAGGAAUAUGUGUUUCUUGGUCUCCUUUCUUGAUUUCUCAUCUUUGACUUCGGUUUUGAUUCUUGAAUUUGGCCACUUGCAAUGGAUUCUUGAUUUCCUCAUUUUUUUUCUAUCCCUUUACGAACCCUAGCUACCAUCUUUUCCUCUGGUUUUUUGCUCAUUUGAGUCGCGAUUCGUGAAACCACCACCACGACCACCAAUCAAUUCCUCUCUAUGUCCACAACAAAAACCCUAAACAUUUGUCAUCGUCGCCGCGCUAGUGAUUUUCGACCACUGUGAUCCGCCAUGCCAACGAUCUCCGACGAUCGUGCUCCGCCGCGACAACGAUUUUCAAUCGUCAUUGCAUUUGGAUGCUUAUGACGUUGUUCUAUUGGAGCGACUGUCAUGGAGACGCUGGAAGAAGUACUAAGGGCCUUGUAGUUGGUUGAAGACAUCUAGGAGUUAUACACCUCGGCUGCACCAUUUCUCUUGAUUGUUUUCUUGCUUAUCAACCUUGUAUUUUCUAGUUUCAUUAUCAUUUGAUAUUUUGAUGUAACUUUAUAUUGUCCUCUUCAAGCCACAAGUGUUGUGAAUAUACUUCACUUCCAACUUGUAGGGGAUAUUAGAGAUGUAGAUAGUGUUGUGAAUAUACUUCACUUCCACC